This 490-nucleotide RNase P RNA is filed under the name Spirochaetales bacterium. RNAcentral's name for it is "RNase P RNA component class A". It matches the Rfam family "Bacterial RNase P class A". Rfam says of the family: Ribonuclease P (RNase P) is a ubiquitous endoribonuclease, found in archaea, bacteria and eukarya as well as chloroplasts and mitochondria. Lineage: Bacteria; Pseudomonadati; Spirochaetota; Spirochaetia; Spirochaetales. The record is from RNAcentral.
GUGACGGGUUGGAUAGCCGCUUGAUUGUUUUUACUUAGGUAAAAACAGUUGAGAGGAAAGUCCGGGCUCCGAAGAACAUGGUGCCGGGUAACUCCCGGGCGAAUCAAUCCACAGCUUUCUUUGAAAACUGCGGAUUGAUUUGACAGAUAGUGCCGCAGAAAAUAUACCGCCAUGUGUCCUUUGGGCGUGGAGUUUGCAUGCAAACUCCUAAUGACUUUGCAUGCAAAGUCAUCAUGGUAAGGGUGAAAAGGCGGGGUAAGAGCCCACCGCUUCAUUGGCAACAAUGAAGGCAAGGUAAACCUCACCAGGAGCAAAGUUAAGCAGCAGAGGAUUGUUCGUCCAGAAGCUUUCGAGACCUAGUCGAGAAAGAUUAAAUCUGCGGGUAAACUGCUUGAGUUCGGAGGAAACUCCGCGCCGAGAUAGAUGGUUAUCGGCUGCCGGCUUUACGGCAGACAGCUUACAAAACCCGGCUUACAGGCCCGUCUUUUUA